This 444-nucleotide ribosomal RNA is filed under the name uncultured bacterium. RNAcentral describes it as "partial 16S ribosomal RNA". It matches the Rfam family "Bacterial small subunit ribosomal RNA", at positions 338 to 795 of the family's 1533-position model. The record is from RNAcentral.
CCUACGGGAGGCAGCAGUCGAGAAUCAUUCACAAUGGGGGAAACCCUGAUGGUGCGACGCCGCGUGGGGGAAUGAAGGUCUUCGGAUUGUAAACCCCUGUCAUGUGGGAGCAAAUUAAAAAGAUAGUACCACAAGAGGAAGAGACGGCUAACUCUGUGCCAGCAGCCGCGGUAAUACAGAGGUCUCAAGCGUUGUUCGGAAUCACUGGGCGUAAAGCGUGCGUAGGCUGUUUCGUAAGUCGUGUGUGAAAGGCGCGGACUCAACCCGCGGACGGCACAUGAUACUGCGAGACUAGAGUAAUGGAGGGGGAACCGGAAUUCUCGGUGUAGCAGUGAAAUGCGUAGAUAUCGAGAGGAACACUCGUGGCGAAGGCGGGUUCCUGGACAUUAACUGACGCUGAGGCACGAAGGCCAGGGGAGCGAAAGGGAUUAGAUACCCCUGGUC